RNAcentral lists this ribosomal RNA (253 nucleotides) under uncultured bacterium. Its description in RNAcentral is "partial 16S ribosomal RNA". It matches the Rfam family "Bacterial small subunit ribosomal RNA", at positions 524 to 776 of the family's 1533-position model. The record is from RNAcentral.
UACGUAGGGGGCAAGCGUUAUCCGGAUUUACUGGGUGUAAAGGGAGCGUAGGUGGCAGGGCAAGUCAGAUGUGAAAACCCGGGGCUCAACUCAGGGAGUGCAUUUGAAACUGUCCAGCUAGAGUGCAGGAGAGGUAAGCGGAAUUCCUAGUGUAGCGGUGAAAUGCAUAGAUAUUAGGAGGAACACCAGUGGCGAAGGCGGCCUGCUGGACCGUGACUGACGUUGAGGCUCGAAAGCGUGGGGAGCAAACAGG